This 253-nucleotide ribosomal RNA is filed under the name uncultured bacterium. RNAcentral's name for it is "partial 16S ribosomal RNA". It matches the Rfam family "Bacterial small subunit ribosomal RNA", at positions 524 to 776 of the family's 1533-position model. The record is from RNAcentral.
UACAGAGGUCUCAAGCGUUGUUCGGAUUCAUUGGGCGUAAAGGGUGCGUAGGUGGCGCUGUAAGUCGGGUGUGAAAUUUCGGAGCUUAACUCCGAAACUGCAUUCGAUACUGCGGUGCUUGAGGACUGGAGAGGAGACUGGAAUUCAUGGUGUAGCAGUGAAAUGCGUAGAGAUCAUGAGGAACACCAGUGGCGAAGGCGGGUCUCUGGGCCGAUACUGACGCUGAGGAGCGAAAGCGUGGGGAGCAAACAGG